Molecule: long non-coding RNA, 574 nt
Organism: Condylura cristata (star-nosed mole)
Lineage: Eukaryota; Metazoa; Chordata; Mammalia; Eulipotyphla; Talpidae
Exons: 2
Source: RefSeq, a predicted model, not a curated record
AUAGUGCUCUGGAAGAAAACCAAAAGUUUAUUAACUGCACCAUCAAGGAAAAAUUUACACAUAUUGUCUACUUGGUCUUCAUACUUAAGUGCUGAUCUAGAACCCCAAAACCACUGUGACUUGGAACACAAAGUGUCAACAUAAGCUGGCUUAAACAACCCUUUUUUGGCAAGGAAGAGAGCUGGAAAGGACAGAAAAAGGUAAAAGAAGAAAAGGGUGGGAGGAAGGAAAAAGGACAGUGGAGAGAGUGAGGAGGGAGAAGAAAGCUGCUGCUCUAAGGAUGCCUCUGCGGUCUAUUCAGAAUGAAAAGGGGCAUGUUUGGAGUCACUACUGUCCCUGUGGCUCAGAGGAGCGGGUCCCAAGUCCCAGUUCCAACAUGAAGACUCUGUUCCAUAGUGACACCAUUGGAACGAGAAGACCAGUUUACCCUGCCGACAGAAAUCCUCUCAGCAGAUGGCUCUGAUUGCAACACACCGAAAGCCCAGCCCCUGUAACCACACAGCACCACGUCUGAAGAUAUGUUUGAGACAGACCCACUAAUGGCAUUUUACAACCCAUAAUAAAGGCCAGUCAU